RNAcentral lists this long non-coding RNA (4443 nucleotides) under Strigops habroptila (Kakapo). RNAcentral's name for it is "lncRNA (ENSSHBG00005008516.1)". Lineage: Eukaryota; Metazoa; Chordata; Aves; Psittaciformes; Psittacidae. The record is from RNAcentral.
GAUAGAUGUUUUGAAGCAACUAGAAUGGAAUGUAAAACAUAAAAUUAUUAGUCAAAUCCUCUUAAUCUAAAUGAAUUAGGCUGUUUUUGACAGUUUGAAAUUGUCUUGCCUAAAACAGAAUGCUGACGUAGCAGGGUGUGUAUGUAUGUGUAAAGAGCACUUUGCGAGUGUCAGACAAUUCAAAUUCUAGCGUUUACUUGUGAUUGUUUAUCUUACAUAUAAUAGAAUAGCUGGAUGAUGAAGUAUAUUAGUUCUUUAAUAAUUUAUAGAAAUGCUUUGAUGUUGCAGUAAUUACAUUAAAGGUCACAUAUCAAAGGUAAUUUGGUUGAGCAGCUGUGAUGGUUUCUCAGAAGCAAUCAAUAUUGCUGUCCGUGGUGGUGAUUUCACCAAGGGGACUGCCAGAUUAAAGGAGGCUUAUUACCAGACAGACAGACACGGGGGAAAUCAAGAACAGAUUGGAGAGAUGCACUAUUCUCGUUCUCCAACUAUAAUUAACACUGUUCACCAUAAUCUGCACUAAUCCUUUAUAGUGGGAAACCAUCACUACUUUAUUUUUUUAUAUAUAUAUAUAUUUUUUUUUCCCCCUCUGUAUCUCCAACAUUACAAAAAGCAAAUUAGGAAAGAAAGUGGAAUUUGGGGGAGUAGGAGAGAGAAAGCAGAAAAAGUAAAAGUUGAUUCACUCUUGGGAUUUCUGAUGCUGAUAUAUGUCUCAGUGAUAAAAUGCAGUACAAAAACGCAGCCCAUGGUCUUGGGGAAAGCACAGGGAGGGCGGGCAAAGUGAUCUAGACAAUGACAGUGCAGGGGAUGUGAGAAUUAUCUGCCUGCAGAUUUAGUAUAAUAUUAUCUAUUUACCCCACAAAGCUGCACAGGAAAUGAAAUCAGAGAAAUAAAAUUAUGUUUUAAGUGUAGUCAUUUUGAUUACAAAUUAGAGUGAAGCCAACUUUUUCUCCCUUUUCUUUUUCCUUUCUGAAGCAAAUGGCAGAGGAUAAUGCUGAGAAAUGUAAUUACGCUAUCAAGAUCUACUUUUAUUUAUAGCACAAAUAAACUGAGCUCAUGUAUGAUAAGCACAGCAACAUUUCUUUCCUCUAGUUCUUUGUGGCUCUCUCAGGCAAUGGGAGUGAAUAGUCCAUGUGUACUUGGUGGAGGCACUGCCUCUUUGCAUAAUGUUAAAACCUCCCGGUAAGACUUGCAAAGAAUAACUAUGAAAUUAAGCAGCUAAGAAACUGUUAACCUCAGCAAUCUGUGGGGCUUACUCAGGCUGAGAAAUAGACUGCAUUUUUUUCCUGUAUCUAUUUCUCUUGAAAUGGAGAGUGGUACUACUGGUAUGCUAAAUUUCCCAGCCUGUAACAUAAUUAGUUUUCUUCCUAACUGUUCUGAGAUCUUUUGUCUCUUCUGCCAUGUAGAAAAAAAUGCAUUCUACUUUAUUCAUCAUAUGCAAAAAUAUGCUUCUUUAACAUUAGAAGAUAGGUGAGCUCAUAAAACUCAUAUUAAAACCAGUUUUAAACAAACAAAAAAGUCUCUCUAAUGAAGCUAAAAUUGUGUUUAGCUAAAAAAAAAAAAAAAAAAAAGAGGUAUUCAAUGUCAUCUGGCUCAAAUUCUUUUGUAUUUUUGAGAAAAGACACCUGAGCAUAGAGGGCUAGGGGGUAGAUAAAGUGCCUUGCAAAAUCUAGCCCCUCUUGAAUCCUUUCAAUAAAGCUUAGAUGAGAUGCAUUAUGUGGACUUCAGAAGUCCUGAUACAUAGCAUGGCUUUCUCUGUUCAAGCAGAUAUUGCUGUAAUUUACAGUCUUAUUGGGUUUUUUUAAUAUUUCAAAGCUUUUUCAAAAAGCUUGUUAGAAAACCAUUAAACCACACAACACCCUGCAUACUAUGUUAUUCCAAAAAUGGUAUUAUAUUCCACACCUUCCCAUUUCAAAAGUAUUCUCUACCAAUGUAAAUUGCAAUUUGGUCAGCACUGGCAGGCUGGAUGGGUUCCAUUGAUUAAAGUAGCCUGCUGAACACACAGCCUGCUCACCAUGCCCUUUAGAUUUUGAAAGAAAACACAUUUAAUUGUUCUCUUGGGAGAAACAUGUCUGUUUUCUGAAGUUAAAAAUGAAGAUGAAAAGCAACAAAACCGGAUUUGAGGUGAGAGACUUGCAAAAACCAGUCGUGUAGAAAAUCUCCAGUGCUUUAGAAUCUUUGGGUGUCAAUGUCAUGGUUAAAAGAUUUUUAGUUUUUUUUUUCACCCAUUGUUUCCUCCUCCUGACUGACCAGCCAGCAAAAGGACUUUUGGAUCUUGCUUUGUGGAAAGGAGGAGACAAAAGGGGGAGAGGGAACUAUACGCACUUUCCAUUUUUUAAAAUCUGUUGUAGUUUCACAGUGCUGCUCAGUUCACCAGAGGAGAUGAAACACCUGGGUCCUAUCUGCUUGGUAAACAUUAAAGUUCCAUUUCAGUAGUUAAAGAUUGGUUUCUGUAUCCCUAUACAGCAGCCUCUAAAAUACAAAGUAAAAUCUCUCUCUCUGUCACCCAGUCCAAAGGGCUUUAGAGGAAAAGGAAACUGUACAAGCAUUCUGAAAGCACCAGUGUGUUGGAUGCAUGCUGUUACAUCAGCUGAGGCUGGUGUAUUCAUCACACUGUGGUGGCUAACCAGGCUUAGCCUGACAUGUAAAAUGGGAACAAGGCUUCUCAGUUGUGUUUGAGAUUUGGUGGUAAUUGAAAAAUAGUGAGCAAAAAAAAAAUUAUAAAAGUAGCAUUGUCUUGUAUUUCUAAUUUGACACCUUUUGGCUGUCAAAGGAUGGUUUCCAAGAUAUUCAACAAAAGCUUUUGCUGGACCUUCAUUUGCUUUAUUUGUUAUUCAAUGACAACUUUUCUGUCUGACGUCUCUGCCAUAGGAGGAUCAAUCUAAUUUUAUGUACAACUGUAAAGAUGAAUGAUAAGUAGAAAGGAUUCAGGCAAGUACAAGCUGAAUAAAUUAUAAAGGGCAAAUGAUGACAGGACUGGGAGUCCCAGGAGACAGUGAUAUGAUAACAGAAACUAAAGACGAAUUUAUGAUGGAUGUAGUUAGCAUGUACUGAGGCUGUUAAUUCUUCAGGGUAGUUUUACAACUUCUUGUGAUUGGAGCAAUCAAAGUAUUUCAUUUUAAAGAGAUGCUGUAUAUUUUCACUUGUCUGUUCCGCAUAUUUGUAUGUAUGGCCUCAUUUAUAUGCAUAGCAGUAAACUCCCAUAGGCUAGUCAAGCUUACCUCCCAUCAAAGGGCCCCUAUUCUCCAAACCAUAAUGCCACUGUUUAUGCAUAAAUAAAUAGAUAAUGUGUAACAAUUUGAGGGCAAAGCUGGAUCUCAGAAAAAAAAAAAGUUUCUAUUUUCAUAGAACACAGCAAUCAAAUCUUUUCAGAUCCUGCAAGUAGCUGAGCACCUUCAGCUACCUUCAAAGCCAAGCCUAGGGACUAAGUUAGCUCACAGAUCCCUGAUGAAAAAUUAUAUAUAACAAGUUUCAGGUAGGUCAAAUUUUGGGCUUAAGCUACUUUAAGAGCAGCUGAUGCAGCAUCAUAAAGUUAGAAACAAAUCUGAUCUUGGAGCAGUUCUUGAUUGCAUUUCAUUCAUGCUCUUAUUUCUAUCUCUUGUUCCUUAUUAUUAAGGAUAUUUGCAUGAAAAUGAUCUUUUUUCCUUCCUCUGAAGGGUUGUCUCUUGUCUGUGAGUAAUGCUUACUCUGGCCUACAUUUGUGGGUUUGAUUCUGACUUCAUUUACACAAGUGUAAAUCAGCAGUGAUCUGAUUGAGGUCGAGGGAUUUAUAUGGCGAAGGAAAGAGCAGACUCAGCUAUAUUUGUCACUGCUGAAAUGAUGUCAUCGUGAACAGUACCAUAGCUCUAAAUGAGGAAACGUAUUUCUACCAAGAAUUUUUGCAUUCGCAUAUCUGAUCUCAUAAAACGCUGAGCAUCCUUGACGCCUGCUGGGCCAUUCAGUAACUCCCACUGGGUUUUUACUAGAGAGAGGUCCCAGCUCCAAACUGUAGCAAUUAAAGAUGGUUGGUGUCUUGGUGUUUCAACUGUGUUAGCCGUUAGGUUCUAACAAAUCCUAAACAGUGGGCUUUCCAGUUGCAUCACCCUACUGAUUCAAGUGAUAGGAUACACUCAGAAAUAAUUUGCAAGCAGCAAUCCUUCACUUCUCAUCCCUUGUUUUCAGACACAGAGACAUAGAGGAAGAGAUGAAUAGCCACCCUUUAACAGGCAAUUUGCUUUUCAUCUGUUCAGUACUACGGGUGACAUUACCUAGUGCGGGGCUCCUUGUUCAUAGACUAACCUUUCCUUACACACCAACUUUCCGUAUUUCCAUUAUGUAGUUAUGGAGAAGCAUGUGCUGAUUCUAAUCUGUAAUGCAAUGUAAGCUUUCAAUAGAGCACUUAGAUGAAGAUGCUGUAUAAUUAUAUGAUUUGGACUUCCAUCUGUGGCAAUAUGCCAACCUAUACCA